GGACUUCUGGAACGGAUUAUGUUUGAGAACCAAGGUUUGGCAUUGCAGAGGUGAAACGAACCCUAGCAGAAAAUGGACUCUUGCUGAAGACACCUUGCUGACAUAUUAAAAACUAUUCCGUUAUCAUGUACAAAUGUUCAUAAGUAAAGAGAAGCUUAG
Podarcis muralis (Common wall lizard) is the source of this 159-nucleotide long non-coding RNA. RefSeq lists it as uncharacterized. The record is from RefSeq and is a predicted model, not a curated record. NCBI's taxonomy places the organism in Eukaryota, Metazoa, Chordata, Lepidosauria, Squamata, Lacertidae.